UUGGAGAGUUUGAUCCUGGCUCAGGACGAACGCUGGCGGCGUGCUUAACACAUGCAAGUCGAACGGAAAGGCCCUGCUUUUGUGGGGUGCUCGAGUGGCGAACGGGUGAGUAACACGUGAGUAACCUGCCCUUGACUUUGGGAUAACUUCAGGAAACUGGGGCUAAUACCGGAUAGGAGCUCCUGCUGCAUGGUGGGGGUUGGAAAGUUUCGGCGGUUGGGGAUGGACUCGCGGCUUAUCAGCUUGUUGGUGGGGUAGUGGCUUACCAAGGCUUUGACGGGUAGCCGGCCUGAGAGGGUGACCGGCCACAUUGGGACUGAGAUACGGCCCAGACUCCUACGGGAGGCAGCAGUGGGGAAUAUUGCACAAUGGGCGGAAGCCUGAUGCAGCAACGCCGCGUGCGGGAUGACGGCCUUCGGGUUGUAAACCGCUUUCGCCUGUGACGAAGCGUGAGUGACGGUAAUGGGUAAAGAAGCACCGGCUAACUACGUGCCAGCAGCCGCGGUGAUACGUAGGGUGCGAGCGUUGUCCGGAUUUAUUGGGCGUAAAGGGCUCGUAGGUGGUUGAUCGCGUCGGAAGUGUAAUCUUGGGGCUUAACCCUGAGCGUGCUUUCGAUACGGGUUGACUUGAGGAAGGUAGGGGAGAAUGGAAUUCCUGGUGGAGCGGUGGAAUGCGCAGAUAUCAGGAGGAACACCAGUGGCGAAGGCGGUUCUCUGGGCCUUUCCUGACGCUGAGGAGCGAAAGCGUGGGGAGCGAACAGGCUUAGAUACCCUGGUAGUCCACGCUGUAAACGGUGGGUACUAGGUGUGGGGUCCAUUCCACGGGUUCCGUGCCGUAGCUAACGCUUUAAGUACCCCGCCUGGGGAGUACGGCCGCAAGGCUAAAACUCAAAGGAAUUGACGGGGCCCCGCACAAGCGGCGGAGCAUGCGGAUUAAUUCGAUGCAACGCGUAGAACCUUACCUGGGUUUGACAUGGAUCGGGAGUGCUCAGAGAUGGGUGUGCCUCUUUUGGGGUCGGUUCACAGGUGGUGCAUGGCUGUCGUCAGCUCGUGUCGUGAGAUGUUGGGUUAAGUCCCGCAACGAGCGCAACCCUUGUUCACUGUUGCCAGCACGUUAUGGUGGGGACUCAGUGGAGACCGCCGGGGUCAACUCGGAGGAAGGUGGGGAUGACGUCAAGUCAUCAUGCCCCUUAUGUCCAGGGCUUCACGCAUGCUACAAUGGCUGGUACAGAGAGUGGCGAGCCUGUGAGGGUGAGCGAAUCUCGGAAAGCCGGUCUCAGUUCGGAUUGGGGUCUGCAACUCGACCUCAUGAAGUCGGAGUCGCUAGUAAUCGCAGAUCAGCAACGCUGCGGUGAAUACGUUCCCGGGGCUUGUACACACCGCCCGUCAAGUCAUGAAAGUUGGUAACACCCGAAGCCGGUGGCCUAACCGUUGUGGGGGAGCCGUCGAAGGUGGGACUGGUGAUUAGGACUAAGUCGUAACAAGGUAGCCGUACCGGAAGGUGCGGCUGGAUCACCCU
This 1518-nucleotide ribosomal RNA is filed under the name Cutibacterium acnes. Its description in RNAcentral is "16S ribosomal RNA". It matches the Rfam family "Bacterial small subunit ribosomal RNA". Lineage: Bacteria; Bacillati; Actinomycetota; Actinomycetes; Propionibacteriales; Propionibacteriaceae. The record is from RNAcentral.